UGCUCGUUUUAUUGAAUAUCCUGAAAGAGUUAUUAGGAUACGAUUUUUCAUCUCAAAGGAUCACAAAGUGUUUGUGAGACACCAUGCUAUCUUCAUGAAAAUAGUUUAUCCUUGAUAGAGGCAGUGGGAGGAAAAUUGAGCUUGAAGAGAAAGUCUCUGAAAAGCAACGAGUCAUGGAUCCUAUCGAACCCAUUAAUACAGAGCCAGUACACGAUAUCCCUCAACCACCUCGCAGAUCAAGUAGGGUCUCCCAUCCUCCCGAUAGAUACUUAGGUAUACUAGAAGAGGAUAUCGAGGAAAUGUUCCUAGUGGGAGAUAGGGAUCACACGCAGGAUCCCAAAACCUACGACGAGGCGAUAUCUAAUAUCGAUUCCGAGAAAUGGAUGGAAGCUAUG
RNAcentral lists this long non-coding RNA (395 nucleotides) under Phoenix dactylifera (date palm). Its description in RNAcentral is "long non-coding RNA (PDAC_LNC015597)". Lineage: Eukaryota; Viridiplantae; Streptophyta; Magnoliopsida; Arecales; Arecaceae. The record is from RNAcentral.